CCCCCCUCAAGAUGAGAUUUCCCAAUUAGUAAGACCCCUUGAAGACGACGAGGUAGAUAGGUUGGGGGUGGAAGUGCAGUAAUGCAUGGAGCUGACCAAUACUAAUCGGUCGAGGGCUUAUCCUAAA
This 127-nucleotide ribosomal RNA is filed under the name Paenibacillus sp. OT2-17. Its description in RNAcentral is "partial 23S ribosomal RNA". It matches the Rfam family "Bacterial large subunit ribosomal RNA", at positions 2793 to 2925 of the family's 2925-position model. Lineage: Bacteria; Bacillati; Bacillota; Bacilli; Caryophanales; Paenibacillaceae. The record is from RNAcentral.